GGCCCUAUAACUCAAUAGGUUAGAGUACACCACUCAUAAUGGUAUAGUUGCUGGUUCGAGUCCAGCUGGGGCCACCA
This 77-nucleotide transfer RNA is filed under the name Serratia phage Muldoon. RNAcentral describes it as "tRNA-Met". It matches the Rfam family "tRNA". Rfam says of the family: Transfer RNA (tRNA) molecules are approximately 80 nucleotides in length. Their secondary structure includes four short double-helical elements and three loops (D, anti-codon, and T loops). Lineage: Duplodnaviria; Heunggongvirae; Uroviricota; Caudoviricetes. RNAcentral also lists the same sequence under 1 other name. The record is from RNAcentral.